AGUGAACGCUGGCGGUAGGCCUAACACAUGCAAGUCGAACGGCAGCACAGUAAGAGCUUGCUCUUACGGGUGGCGAGUGGCGGACGGGUGAGGAAUACAUCGGAAUCUACUUUUUCGUGGGGGAUAACGUAGGGAAACUUACGCUAAUACCGCAUACGACCUACGGGUGAAAGCAGGGGAUCUUCGGACCUUGCGCGAUUGAAUGAGCCGAUGUCGGAUUAGCUAGUUGGCGGGGUAAAGGCCCACCAAGGCGACGAUCCGUAGCUGGUCUGAGAGGAUGAUCAGCCACACUGGAACUGAGACACGGUCCAGACUCCUACGGGAGGCAGCAGUGGGGAAUAUUGGACAAUAGGCGCAAGCCUGAUCCAGCCAUACCGCGUGGGUGAAGAAGGCCUUCGGGUUGUAAAACCCUUUUGUUGGGAAAGAAAAGCAGCAGGUUAAUACCCCGCUGUUCUGACGGUACCCAAAGAAUAAGCACCGGCUAACUUCGUG
Molecule: ribosomal RNA, 492 nt
Filed under: uncultured bacterium
Lineage: Bacteria
Description: partial 16S ribosomal RNA
Rfam family: Bacterial small subunit ribosomal RNA
Source: RNAcentral